UUACAUGAUUGUCAACAGGGAGGGAUGGUUAUGCAAGAGGGUGCAAGAGGUGGCAGAUCAUCUCUUGAAGCAUCUUGCAUGACCGUCUCUUCCUGCAGGUAGAGUUAUGUAA
This 112-nucleotide microRNA precursor is filed under the name Physcomitrium patens. Its description in RNAcentral is "Physcomitrella patens miR1211 stem-loop (ppt-MIR1211)". Lineage: Eukaryota; Viridiplantae; Streptophyta; Bryopsida; Funariales; Funariaceae. The record is from miRBase by way of RNAcentral.